Molecule: unclassified non-coding RNA, 269 nt
Filed under: Hevea brasiliensis (rubber tree)
Lineage: Eukaryota; Viridiplantae; Streptophyta; Magnoliopsida; Malpighiales; Euphorbiaceae
Source: RNAcentral
GGCAAUUUUUCCUUCAUGUGAGUACAUAUUUAUGGCACUUUAGAGCUAACAAUCAAUGAAAUUGUGACAUAACAAUAGAGUAAUUUGACCAACAAUGUAAAAAGAAUGAUCAAUGAAACAAAAAAAUAAAGCUUCCAUAAGUUAAUAAAACAAGAAAAUAAUUCUUGUUAAUGGGACACAGCUAGAUUUGACACUUACUUAGCCUCCAAAAUUAGAGCUAAUUAUUUUUAUCAAACUCCAAAUAUGGAAAAUUAAUGCAAACUGGGUAU